This 283-nucleotide long non-coding RNA is filed under the name Anas platyrhynchos platyrhynchos (common mallard). RNAcentral describes it as "lncRNA (ENSAPLG00000024699.1)". The record is from RNAcentral. Lineage: Eukaryota; Metazoa; Chordata; Aves; Anseriformes; Anatidae.
GACAACAUUCUACAUAAUGUAACAAAGAAGUCUGAAAAUGUGAAUCAUCUGCAAACUAUGCAUUCAUCUUGCAGACCUUCACUCUGAGAGAUAUUUUUCCCUAAAUCGAUUUGAUGUUCUCUAUCACCAAGGAGGGAGUCUUUAGAUAUGUGUAUCUUCAUCAUUUUCAUUCUGCCAAGAUUUUGUUUUGAGUAACCUGCUUGCAUUUAUUUUACUCCUUGUUGUUACAAGGCUUUGGCUAACAAUGAAGUGAUCCAGAUGGACUCCCUGGGAUGAAUCUUUC